This 442-nucleotide ribosomal RNA is filed under the name uncultured bacterium. Its description in RNAcentral is "bacterial SSU rRNA". It matches the Rfam family "Bacterial small subunit ribosomal RNA", at positions 958 to 1399 of the family's 1533-position model. The record is from RNAcentral.
AACGCGAAGAACCUUACCUGGGCUCGAACGGCCGGUCAACGAUCGUGGAAACACGGUUACUCCGCAAGGGGGUCCGGUCGAGGUGCUGCAUGGCUGUCGUCAGCUCGUGUCGUGAGAUGUUGGGUUAAGUCCCGCAACGAGCGCAACCCUUGUCCUGUGUUGCAACCCCGCAAGGGGGCACUCGCAGGAGACCGCCAGCGAUAAGCUGGAGGAAGGUGGGGAUGACGUCAAGUCCUCAUGGCCUUUAUGUCCAGGGCUACACACGUGCUACAAUGGCCGGUACAAAGCGUUCCCAAACCGCGAGGUGGAGGCAAUCGCAAAAAACCGGUCUCAGUUCGGAUUGCAGGCUGCAACUCGCCUGCAUGAAGCUGGAAUCGCUAGUAAUGGCAGAUCAGCAUGCUGCCGUGAAUACGUUCCCGGGCCUUGUACACACCGCUCGCGA